AAACAGUAGACCACCUUUUUUCUCAAUGUGUAUUCUUCAAAUUUCUUAUGGUGAUGUCAUUGGAGGAUGUCCAAGCAGGAGAUUUGGCCGAAGAUGUGCAUAUGGUUUGGGACAGACGAAGUGGAAGGAUGGGGUCUCAGUCCAUGAGCGAUGGUUUAGCUGGACUAAUUGCUUGUUGGUGGGUUAUUUGGGAGACCAGGAAUGGUGUGAUCUUUAGGAGGAAUCAGACUGAUCCAAUCCGUGGUUGCUAUAAGGUUAACAGCUGACGUCCCUGUGGGGGAAUCUUCGCCAUAUUUCGCAGGGAAUAGCCAAGAAGAAGGCGGAACUUAAGGACCAACUACUCGGGGUAUUUAAAGAUGAGGAAGCAUUGUGGAGAACCUGAGCAAAACAGCAUUGGCUACGGGAGGGCGACAAUAACACCAAAUUCUUCCAUACUGUAGCCAAUGGCCGGAGGAGAACAAACAGAAUUGACGUGAUCGAAGAGAGUGGGACGGUGUAUCAUUCUGAAGAGGAUAAAUAGAAUGUCUUAUUUCAAAAUUUUAAAAAGCUUUACUCACCGGAUGAGUUGGCUCCAUCAUCAUUCGGGGAUUGGAGUGAGCUUUUCAGGACGGCGCGGGUUAGCCCUACCGAUCGUGUGCAUUUAACGAGGCCUUUCACUCUCGAUGAAGUUAAACAAGCAGUUUUUCAGCUUGGGAGUGAUAAGGCGCCGAGACCGGAUGGAUUCCCGUUGUACUUCUACCAAACUUUCUGGGACACCCUAAAGGGUGAUAUCUUGAACAUUUUUCAAGAAUUGUUCGAGGGGACGCAAGACACCAACCCUAUUGAUUAUACUUACAUUUGUUUAAUUCCGAAGAAGGAUGGAGCUAAAUGGGCGGAUGAUUAUCGACCUAUAAGCCUGCUGAACGGAAUUCAGAAGAUCCUAUCCAAGGUUUUAGCCAAUCAACUGGAGAUGAUUAUGGGAGAUCUGAUAUCCUCCACCCAAUCGGCUUUCUUGAAGGGAAGAAAUAUCACUGAUGCUUUCGCGACGGUUUGUGAGCUGAUCGGCUGGGGGAGUAAGCAGGAAACUGAGGGAGUCGGGGUAAAAGUGGAUUUUGAGAAGGCAUACGACAGAAUUUACUGGCCGUUUCUUCUUCGCAUUUUAGACUGGUGGGGCUUCAAUGAUAAGUGGUGCAACUGGAUCAAACUUUGUGUGUGCAACACUAAGGUCGCUGUUUUAGUUAAUGGCGUACCAACCAAGUGGAUAAAGACAAAGAGGGGGGUUCGGCAAGGCGACCCGCUUUGUCCCUUCCUCUUUUUACUCAUAGCAGAGUGUCUUGCCCGACUGACGAAAGAGGCAAUCUCCAACAAUCUUAUUAACGGCAUUAGCCCUUCUGAGGCAUCUAGGGUUUCCAUUAUCCAAUUCGCCGAUGACAAUUUUUUCUUCUGUGAGGCCAAGAAGAGAUGCAUGCGAAAUCUGAAAUUUCUAUGGCAACUUUUCGAGUGGGCAUCCGGAAUGAAGGUCAACAACGAGAAAUCGGAACUAUAUUAUACUGGUCAGGUGGAAGGAAAAGCGAGUAGGCUGGCACACAUACUAGGUUGUAAACUCGGUAGCUUACCCACCAGAUAUUUAGGCCUGCCGUUGGCAACAAGACCCCCGUCCAAGGAGACUUGGAGGGAAAUCAUUCACAAGGUUCAACGUAGAAUUGAUGGUUGGCAAGCAAAACUUCUAUCGUGAGGGGGUAGACUUAUUCUAGUAAACGCCGUUCUCACUAAUCUACCUCCUUAUUUUUUUGCUGUGUUCAAGACACCCAUAUGGGUUAUCAAACACAUUGAGGCUCUGCGUAGAGAUUUCUUCUGGAGGGGAGGAUCCACUUCACCCGGUAAGGGAUGUCUUGUUUCCUGGAAAAGCGUCUGCAGGAGCAAGAAAGAGGGAGGCCUCGGUGUCCUUGAUUUAACGGUCAUGAAUCAAGCCCUCCUUGCCAAAUGGUGGUGGAAAUUUCUUACGGCGCCUCAGUUGCAAUGGAACAAGAUAAUUCGUGAGCUGUUCUAUCUUAGAAGAAGACCAUUAAAAGAGGGUAGGUGCUUUCGACCAUCCUCCUUAUUGGUUGCUAUAAGGUUAAACAGCUGACGUCCCUGUGGGGGAAUCUUCGCCCUAUGGAGAAACACUGAUUUUUAUUAUUAUUAUUAUUAUUAUUAUUAUUAUUAUUAUUAUUAUUAUUAUUUUAUUUUUUUAUUUGUUUUUCGUCUUUGUCCGGCUUUUCAUUUUUUUAGAGGCCUUAUUGCCUCACCCAUGUUGCUAAGUUCAUAUCCUGAAUGAAUGAAGCGGGUAGCGUGCUACCUUUUUCUCAAAAAAAAAAAAUUUUAAAUUGACAACUUAAAAUAUAAAUCGUUAAUAUUUCCACAACUUUAUAUCCGUAAUUUAAGAUUCAAAAUUUUAAAGAUUAGAUUCUAU
RNAcentral lists this long non-coding RNA (2431 nucleotides) under Ananas comosus (pineapple). RNAcentral describes it as "long non-coding RNA (ACOM_LNC011762)". Lineage: Eukaryota; Viridiplantae; Streptophyta; Magnoliopsida; Poales; Bromeliaceae. The record is from RNAcentral.